RNAcentral lists this ribosomal RNA (307 nucleotides) under uncultured bacterium. RNAcentral describes it as "bacterial SSU rRNA". It matches the Rfam family "Bacterial small subunit ribosomal RNA", at positions 771 to 1074 of the family's 1533-position model. The record is from RNAcentral.
ACCCAAUAGAUACCCAGGUAGUCCACGCCGUAAACGAUGAGUGCUAGACGUCGGGAAGCUUGCUUUUCGGUGUCGACGCUAAACGCAUUAAGCACUCCGCCUGGGGAGUACGGCCGCAAGGUUAAAACUCAAAGGAAUUGACGGGGGCCCCACAAGCGGUGGAGCAUGUGGUUUAAUUCGAAAGCAACGCGAAGAACCUUACCAGCCCUUGACAUGGAACGUAUGGGCCCGAGAGAUCGGGUCCUCGGUUAAGUCCGGCGUUCGACACAGGUGCUGCAUGGCUGUCGUCAGCUCGUGUCGUGAGAUG